Molecule: ribosomal RNA, 217 nt
Filed under: Photobacterium leiognathi
Lineage: Bacteria; Pseudomonadati; Pseudomonadota; Gammaproteobacteria; Vibrionales; Vibrionaceae
Description: 16S rRNA
Rfam family: Bacterial small subunit ribosomal RNA
Source: RNAcentral
CUGGUCUGAGAGGAUGAUCAGCCACACUGGAACUGAGACACGGUCCWGWCUCCUACGGGAGGCAGCAGUGGGGAAUAUUGCACAAUGGGGGAAACCCUGAUGCAGCCAUGCCGCGUGUAUGAAGAAGGCUUCGGGUUGUAAAGUACUUUCAGUAGGGAGGAAGGCAGUGUCGUUAAUAGCGGCAUUGUUUGACGUUACCUACAGAAGAAGCACCGGC